RNAcentral lists this ribosomal RNA (254 nucleotides) under uncultured bacterium. Its description in RNAcentral is "partial 16S ribosomal RNA". It matches the Rfam family "Bacterial small subunit ribosomal RNA", at positions 524 to 776 of the family's 1533-position model. The record is from RNAcentral.
UACGUAGGCAGCGAGCGUUGUUCGGAGUUACUGGGCGUAAAGAGUGCGUAGGCGGUUUUCUAAGUCAGACGUGAAAUCCCCCGGCUUAACCUGGGAACUGCGUCUGAUACUGGACGGCUAGAGUAUGGGAGAGGGAUGUAGAAUUCCAGGUGUAGCGGUGAAAUGCGUAGAUAUCUGGAGGAAUACCGGUGGCGAAGGCGGCAUCCUGGACCAUUUACUGACGCUCAUGCACGAAAGCGUGGGGAGCAAACAGG